GGAAAAAAAAAAAAAAAAAAAACUUGCACACUCUGAGAGCUCAACUGUGCAUGCACUUUUCUAUUUGGUGCUUGUAGACGUUAUGGGAAAGUUGUCUCUCUCCCUACAUCUCUCUCCCUCUCCCCAUCCCUCCCUCCUUUUCUCCCUCUCACCGUCUAUCAUGUGCUUGGGAUAUGCUCAUGCUUUAGACAGAGCAGCUGAAGCACGCCUAAUGCAGGCUACUGACUGUUAGCGGCAAUUUUAAAGUGAUGCCCCCCCACCAAAUAAUACGGCUGGGAUAUUUGAGGGGAACAUAUACCUCAUGACGGUACACACGGACCCAACUGAACAGCGCGGUUCUGCUCCUGCUUGGGACACUGUCUGAUCGAUUGCAGUGAUUUGACUCACCUUUGUGAAUAAAAAUGGAGAAAGGGAGCUUUAGCAAACUGCAGGGACCAGGAGGGGAGGGUCAGGAUGAACUGUUUUGGAUUUUGAUCUCCAGUGGAUCCAGAUAAGGUUGAAUGGAGUCUUCAUAGAUUGCGACCCAGAAACAAAUGGCAUAACCACUGGAGUCUCCAGGCUAAAGACGUCAAGGAUAUUCAGCUGAUUUCAGAGGUUAAUGAAGUCCUCCACACGAACCAGAUGGGAACUUGGAAUUGAUCAAGAUUGGAACUUCACAUUAUCAUCUCCUAUGUCCUGAAAGUUUCUUGUUACAUUCUAAAGCAUUUGCACUUUACUGUCUAUCUAUGAAUUUACAAUCGC
This is a long non-coding RNA of Sphaeramia orbicularis (orbiculate cardinalfish), 741 nucleotides long. RefSeq lists it as uncharacterized. The record is from RefSeq and is a predicted model, not a curated record. The transcript has 4 exons. Lineage: Eukaryota; Metazoa; Chordata; Actinopteri; Kurtiformes; Apogonidae.